AUUGAACGCUGGCGGCAGGCCUAACACAUGCAAGUCGAGCGGAUGAAGGGAGCUUGCUCCUGGAUUCAGCUGCGGACGGGUGAGUAAUGCCUAGGAAUCUGCCUGGUAGUGGGGGAUAACGUCCGGAAACGGGCGCUAAUACCGCAUACGUCCUGAUGGUGAAAGUGGGGGAUCUUCGGACCUCACGCUAUCAGAUGAGCCUAGGUCGGAUUAGCUAGUUGGUGGGGUAAAGGCCUACCAAGGCGACGAUCCGUAACUGGUCUGAGAGGAUGAUCAGUCACACUGGAACUGAGACACGGUCCAGACUCCUACGGGAGGCAGCAGUGGGGAAUAUUGGACAAUGGGCGAAAGCCUGAUCCAGCCAUGCCGCGUGUGUGAAGAAGGUCUUCGGAUUGUAAAGCACUUUAAGUAGGGAGGAACGACAGUAAGUUAAUACCUUGAUGUUUUGACGUUACCAAAAGAAUAAGCACCGGCUAACUUCGUG
Molecule: ribosomal RNA, 484 nt
Filed under: uncultured bacterium
Lineage: Bacteria
Description: partial 16S ribosomal RNA
Rfam family: Bacterial small subunit ribosomal RNA
Source: RNAcentral